GACGAACGCUGGCGGCGUGCUUAACACAUGCAAGUCGAACGGUGAAGCGAGUGCUUUCCCCCGUGGACCAGUGGCGCACGGGUGUGUAACACGUGAGUAACCUGCCCAUCACUCUGUGAUAAGCACUCGAAACGGUGUCUAAUACUGGAUACGACCUACCCUUGCACGGGGUGCUGGUGGAAAGAAUGAGCGGUGAUGGAUGGACGCGCGGCCUAUCAGCUCGUUGGCGGGGUAAUGGCCGACCAAGUCGACGACGGGUCGCCGGCCUGCGAGGGUGAACGGCGACACGGGGACUGAGAGACGGCCCAGACUGCUACGGGAGGCAGCAGUGGGGAGUAUGGCGCAGUGGGCGAACGCCUGAUGCAGCGACGCCGGGUGAGGGAUGACGGCCUUCGGGUGGUAAACCUAUGUCUGCGGGGAAGAAGCGAAAGUGACGGUACCUGCAGAAGAAGCACCGGCUAACUACGUG
RNAcentral lists this ribosomal RNA (469 nucleotides) under uncultured bacterium. RNAcentral's name for it is "partial 16S ribosomal RNA". It matches the Rfam family "Bacterial small subunit ribosomal RNA", at positions 28 to 507 of the family's 1533-position model. The record is from RNAcentral.